This 360-nucleotide ribosomal RNA is filed under the name Celatoblatta sp. W24. RNAcentral describes it as "partial small subunit ribosomal RNA". Lineage: Eukaryota; Metazoa; Arthropoda; Insecta; Blattodea; Blattidae. The record is from RNAcentral.
UUUAGAUUUGAAGUAAUUUAACCUAAGUAGUAGUAGAUAUGGUCUUGAAACUUAAAGAAUUUGGCGGUAUUUUAGUCUAUUUAGAGGAAUCUGUCCCUUGAUUCGAUAAUCCACGUUGAACCUUACUAAAUUUUAUUGUAUGUAUAUCGCCGUUAUAAGAGAAUCUUUUUAGAGAUUAAUAAUUUUCUAAUUUUAUUAAUUUUAAUUUAUUUCAGGUCAAGGUGCAGCUUAUAAUUUAGUGGAGAUGGAUUACAAUUAAAUUAAUUAUUUGGAUUAUUAAUUGUAAUAUUUAAUAUGAAAAUGGAUUUAAUAGUAAUUUCUUAUAGAUUAUAGAGGUGGUAUAUUAGCUCUAUAAUAUGU